This 347-nucleotide unclassified non-coding RNA is filed under the name uncultured Stereum. RNAcentral's name for it is "sequence contains ITS1". The stretch from base 1 to 105 matches the Rfam family "5.8S ribosomal RNA", at positions 50 to 154 of the family's 154-position model. The record is from RNAcentral. Lineage: Eukaryota; Fungi; Basidiomycota; Agaricomycetes; Russulales; Stereaceae.
GAAAUGCGAUAAGUAAUGUGAAUUGCAGAAUUCAGUGAAUCAUCGAAUCUUUGAACGCACCUUGCGCCCUUUGGUAUUCCGAAGGGCACACCUGUUUGAGUGUCGUGAAAUUCUCAACCCUCUUCACUUUUUUGUGAUCAGGGAUUGGACUUGGAGGCUUUGCCGGACUUUUCGUUCGGCUCCUCUCAAAUGCAUUAGUGCGUCUUGUUGCGACGUGCGCCUCGGUGUGAUAAUUAUCUACGCUGUGGUGCGCUUGCUUCUGUGGAGACAUGCUUUCAAACCGUCCGAAAGGACAACUUUCAUCGAACUUUGACCUCAAAUCAGGUGGGACUACCCGCUGAACUUAA